Gordionus sp. m RMFG-2023 is the source of this 408-nucleotide long non-coding RNA. RefSeq lists it as uncharacterized. The record is from RefSeq and is a predicted model, not a curated record. Lineage: Eukaryota; Metazoa; Nematomorpha; Gordioida; Chordodea; Parachordodidae. The transcript is spliced from 3 exons.
AGAAGGGAACCCAUAAUUUAAAAUAUUUAUAUAUAAUUUAAUUUCUCAUAAUAAUGAUAUGCUUAACAGUGACAAUGAUGGGACUGCUAUUCGCUAGUUUGCACUUAGGAAAAGGCGGAAUUUUUACUAAAGAUUUUGUGAAUGUUUCCAACACCUCAUCGGAAGAUGUCCACAUUCUAGAUAUAGUUAAGAAACCACUUAUAGAUGAUACCAAUAGGAACAUAUCUCGAAUAUAUCCCUAUAGAUUAGUCAAUGUGGCUAAAUUAAAAAACCAUCCAUCCAUUCUCUAAAACGACCUAAGCAAAUUUAAUGUAUAUUUACUUUAUUAUUCGAUACUAUAUAUGUCAUCUCGAGAUCCUUAUUGGACUUGGGCACUAGGAAUAAUACAUGAUCAGUAAUUAUAAAUAU